RNAcentral lists this long non-coding RNA (293 nucleotides) under Triticum aestivum (bread wheat). RNAcentral describes it as "long non-coding RNA (TAES_LNC005193)". The record is from RNAcentral. Lineage: Eukaryota; Viridiplantae; Streptophyta; Magnoliopsida; Poales; Poaceae.
UUCAACAGUGGCCUUGCGAGAGGGGAUUCAGGCCUAACCACUCGAAGCAAUUCUAGUCCAAAUUUGUCCGCGAACUGCAUUCACAAGAAAAUUAUAGCCAGCACCUCAAAACAAAUGUCCCAUUUCCCCUCUGCUAUACAUCGCCCCUCGCUGGGCGCUUGGUAGCAGAAGCAAUAGGUAUCUAUACACACAAAUUUAGUACAGUACUUAUCAAGAUUAACCCGGUAACAGCCUUACUUAGUUUCUCCUCUUCACUAAUUGCAAGAAGCCUCCUGGAAUGGAUCAAAGGAUGG